UGGGGAAUAUUGCACAAUGGGCGGAAGCCUGAUGCAGCAACGCCGCGUGAGGGAUGACGGCCUUCGGGUUGUAAACCUCUUUUAGCAGGGAAGAAGCGAAAGUGACGGUACCUGCAGAAAAAGCGCCGGCUAACUACGUGCCAGCAGCCGCGGUAAUACGUAGGGCGCAAGCGUUAUCCGGAAUUAUUGGGCGUAAAGAGCUCGUAGGCGGUUUGUCGCGUCUGCUGUGAAAUCCCGAGGCUCAACCUCGGGUCUGCAGUGGGUACGGGCAGACUAGAGUGCGGUAGGGGAGAUUGGAAUUCCUGGUGUAGCGGUGGAAUGCGCAGAUAUCAGGAGGAACACCGAUGGCGAAGGCAGAUCUCUGGGCCGUUACUGACGCUGAGGAGCGAAAGGGUGGGGAGCAAACAGG
Molecule: ribosomal RNA, 409 nt
Filed under: uncultured Microbacterium sp.
Lineage: Bacteria; Bacillati; Actinomycetota; Actinomycetes; Micrococcales; Microbacteriaceae
Description: bacterial SSU rRNA
Rfam family: Bacterial small subunit ribosomal RNA
Source: RNAcentral